RNAcentral lists this long non-coding RNA (435 nucleotides) under Sinocyclocheilus anshuiensis. RNAcentral's name for it is "lncRNA (ENSSANG00000042074.1)". Lineage: Eukaryota; Metazoa; Chordata; Actinopteri; Cypriniformes; Cyprinidae. The record is from RNAcentral.
CCCCUCCUGUUCUCCUCUCUCCUCUUUCCCCCUCCCAUCUUUCUCUCUCAGGAGGCAAGCAGGGGAAGGAGUGGAGUGCUGAUGCGUGGGAGGAGGGGACUGGAGGAGUGAGGGAUGAGAGGAGGGACGUGUUCUGUGUCCAUCUGCCAACUGGAGGAGGUGUAGGUGGGGAGGAGGAAAGGAUAUGUGUCUCUGGGGAGAGGAAGGAGGUGGCCAGCAUUAAAGAGGAGGUGGAAGGCUACAGAUCAGACUCCCUGAGGCUGUUGCAAGAGGCUCUACAGAUGAACCAAACUGAAACCAGCCCUCCCUCCCCCAGUCCCACCCACGGAGAAAUGGGCCCUGCUUCUGCUGGUCCUGAAUCCGCUGCUGCUGAAGUGUGGGAGGAGCAGCCAGCCUUGUCAGAGGAACCAAUGCCCGGUGGAGACGAGCUCAGCG